This is a long non-coding RNA of Psammomys obesus (fat sand rat), 471 nucleotides long. RefSeq lists it as uncharacterized. The record is from RefSeq and is a predicted model, not a curated record. NCBI's taxonomy places the organism in Eukaryota, Metazoa, Chordata, Mammalia, Rodentia, Muridae. The transcript is spliced from 3 exons.
GCUGGGAGUUGGGGGGGGGGAGGGAAGGAAGGCGCAGUCCGAGCCCGUGGGAGCCUCCCCGGCCCCGCAGUCCCAGCAGCAAACUGCGCUUGGUCGGACGGAUACCCUCGCGGAGGAUGGAGCCACAUCAUGGGGAGAUGACAAGGAGGCCCUGGUGGCAUUGACCAGUGCUGAACAGAAGUGCUGCUGCUGUUGAGGUCUCUGCAAACCCUCUGGCAUGCUUUGCCCUCUCUGUUUCAACCAAGGAAGCACGUCCCAGAUGUGAAGGGAUUGGCCCAAGUUGAGCAGCUGAAAAACCACAACUCCAGCUCCAAAGAAACAGGAAGAGGUGGUGGAUCAUAACAAUGGUCCCCCCCAGCCAGCCUCCCCGUGAAGACUGAAGGAGAUAAGGAAUAGGAAGGAUUCAACAUGGUGCUGCUGUUAGCAACACUCUUCUUACUGCUCCAGAUCUGAGCUCCUCCCCUGACCACG